GGCUUCUAUAAGAAAUACUUUCAAGCCGGGUAGAGGCUUCUUCUCCAUCCUUUUGUUGUGGCGCUCCUCCAAUACUUUGAAAUAUCACUGUGUAUGGUGGUGCCGAAUACAUGACGGUAUAUUUGCAGCUUCAUCACAGUAUGCAUGCUGGCAGGGAUUGUAUCAAAUAUCACAUUCUUCCAUUUUCUCUUCAACCUCAAUCGGCACCC
Molecule: long non-coding RNA, 209 nt
Filed under: Elaeis guineensis (African oil palm)
Lineage: Eukaryota; Viridiplantae; Streptophyta; Magnoliopsida; Arecales; Arecaceae
Description: long non-coding RNA (EGUI_LNC050465)
Source: RNAcentral